Molecule: ribosomal RNA, 198 nt
Filed under: uncultured bacterium
Lineage: Bacteria
Description: partial 16S ribosomal RNA
Rfam family: Bacterial small subunit ribosomal RNA
Source: RNAcentral
CUGCAACUCGCCUGUAUGAAGUCGGAAUUGCUAGUAAUCGCGGAUCAGCAUGCCGCGGUGAAUACGUUCCCGGGCCUUGUACACACCGCCCGUCACACCAUGAGAGCCGGGAACACCCGAAGUCCGUAGUCUAACCCGCAAGGGAGGGCGCGGCCGAAGGUGGGUUUGGUAAUUGGGGUGAAGUCGUAACAAGGUACC